CUUGUUUAAAUAUAAGAGGUCCAGCCUGCCCAGUGAUAAUUCAUUCAACGGCCGCGUAAUUUAAAGCGCGCAAAGGUAGCGUAAUCACUUGUUCUUUAAAUGAGGACUCGAAUCAACGGCACCACGAGGGCUAUACUGUCUCCUUCCCCCAAUCAGUGAAACUAAUCCCCCUGUGAAAAAGCAGGGAUAUCCCUAUAAGACGAGAAGACCCCAUGGAGCUUUAAACAUGACAACAUCUUUAAAAUUUCAUACACCCACCUUAUUAGCACGAAAGCAUUGUGCGUUAGUUUUAGGUUGGGGCGACCGCGGAGUAUAAGAAAACCUCCACAACGAAAGGGAAUAAGCCCUUACUUGAGAAAAACACUUCUACAAAUUAUUAAUAUAACGUUUAAUGACCCGAUUAUCGAUUAACGAACCA
RNAcentral lists this ribosomal RNA (418 nucleotides) under Phrynoglossus sp. 2004.0357. Its description in RNAcentral is "partial 16S ribosomal RNA". It matches the Rfam family "Bacterial large subunit ribosomal RNA", at positions 1834 to 2441 of the family's 2925-position model. Lineage: Eukaryota; Metazoa; Chordata; Amphibia; Anura; Dicroglossidae. The record is from RNAcentral.